RNAcentral lists this small nucleolar RNA (125 nucleotides) under Echinops telfairi (small Madagascar hedgehog). RNAcentral's name for it is "Small nucleolar RNA SNORA61 (ENSETEG00000025292.1)". The record is from RNAcentral. Lineage: Eukaryota; Metazoa; Chordata; Mammalia; Afrosoricida; Tenrecidae.
CCCCCCCCAAGUCCUUGCCCAUCAGGUAGGUCUGAACCACUGGUCUGCGUGGUUAGGAAAGGAGGAAACGUAAAAUGGAAACGGACUUCAAUGUUUUGUUCGACACACGCUGGUUGCAAACACAC